RNAcentral lists this ribosomal RNA (500 nucleotides) under uncultured bacterium. RNAcentral describes it as "bacterial SSU rRNA". It matches the Rfam family "Bacterial small subunit ribosomal RNA", at positions 28 to 576 of the family's 1533-position model. The record is from RNAcentral.
AACGAACGCUGGCGGCAGGCUUAACACAUGCAAGUCGAACGCCCCGCAAGGGGAGUGGCAGACGGGUGAGUAACGCGUGGGAACCUACCCAGUUCUACGGAACAACUGAGGGAAACUUCAGCUAAUACCGUAUACGCCCUACGGGGGAAAGAUUUAUCGGAAUUGGAUGGGCCCGCGUUGGAUUAGCUAGUUGGUGGGGUAAUGGCCUACCAAGGCGACGAUCCAUAGCUGGUCUGAGAGGAUGAUCAGCCACACUGGGACUGAGACACGGCCCAGACUCCUACGGGAGGCAGCAGUGGGGAAUAUUGGACAAUGGGCGCAAGCCUGAUCCAGCCAUGCCGCGUGAGUGAUGAGGGCCUUAGGGUUGUAAAGCUCUUUCAGUGGGGACGAUAAUGACGGUACCCACAGAAGAAGCCCCGGCUAACUCCGUGCCAGCAGCCGCGGUAAUACGAAGGGGGCUAGCGUUGUUCGGAUUUACUGGGCGUAAAGCGCACGUAGGC